This 359-nucleotide ribosomal RNA is filed under the name uncultured bacterium. RNAcentral describes it as "partial 16S ribosomal RNA". It matches the Rfam family "Bacterial small subunit ribosomal RNA", at positions 29 to 396 of the family's 1533-position model. The record is from RNAcentral.
AUUGAACGCUGGCGGAAUGCUUAACACAUGCAAGUCGAGCGGGGUGUAGCAAUACACCUAGCGGCGGACGGGUGAGGAAUACAUAGGAAUCUGCCUCAGAGCGGGGGAUAGCCCGGGGAAACCCGGAUUAAUACCGCAUGAUGUCGCAAGACCAAAGUGGGGGACCGCAAGGCCCCACACUCUGAGAUGAGCCUAUGUCCGAUUAGCUAGUUGGCGGGGUAAUAGCCCACCAAGGCGACGAUCGGUAGCUGGUCUGAGAGGACGACCAGCCACACUGGGACUGAGACACGGCCCAGACUCCUACGGGAGGGCAGCAGUGGGGAAUCUUGCGCAAUGGGCGAAAGCCUGACGCAGCGACG